GGGCCCGUAGUCGAGCCAGGAUCAAGACAUUGGCCUCCGGAGCCAAUGAGCCUGGGUUCAAAUCCCAGCGGGCCCGCCA
Molecule: transfer RNA, 79 nt
Filed under: Candidatus Bathyarchaeota archaeon
Lineage: Archaea; Thermoproteati; Candidatus Bathyarchaeota
Description: tRNA-Arg
Rfam family: tRNA
About the family: Transfer RNA (tRNA) molecules are approximately 80 nucleotides in length. Their secondary structure includes four short double-helical elements and three loops (D, anti-codon, and T loops).
Source: RNAcentral